Molecule: ribosomal RNA, 514 nt
Filed under: uncultured bacterium
Lineage: Bacteria
Description: partial 16S ribosomal RNA
Rfam family: Bacterial small subunit ribosomal RNA
Source: RNAcentral
GAUGAACGCUGGCGGCGUGCCUAAUACAUGCAAGUCGAGCGAACUGAUUAGAAGCUUGCUUCUAUGACGUUAGCGGCGGACGGGUGAGUAACACGUGGGCAACCUGCCUGUAAGACUGGGAUAACUUCGGGAAACCGAAGCCAAUACCGGAUAGGAUCUUCUCCUUCAUGGGAGAUGAUUGAAAGAUGGUUUCGGCUAUCACUUACAGAUGGGCCCGCGGUGCAUUAGCUAGUUGGUGAGGUAACGGCUCACCAAGGCAACGAUGCAUAGCCGACCUGAGAGGGUGAUCGGCCACACUGGGACUGAGACACGGCCCAGACUCCUACGGGAGGCAGCAGUAGGGAAUCUUCCGCAAUGGACGAAAGUCUGACGGAGCAACGCCGCAUGAGUGAUGAAGGCUUUCGGGUCGUAAAACUCUGUUGUUAGGGAAGAACAAGUACGAGAGUAACUGCUCGUACCUUGACGGUACCUAACCAGAAAGCCACGGCUAACUACGUGCCAGCCGCCGCUGUAA